RNAcentral lists this ribosomal RNA (700 nucleotides) under uncultured bacterium. Its description in RNAcentral is "bacterial SSU rRNA". It matches the Rfam family "Bacterial small subunit ribosomal RNA", at positions 94 to 793 of the family's 1533-position model. The record is from RNAcentral.
AGUGGCGAACGGGUGAGAAACGCGUGAGAAUUUACCUUUUAGUGAGGAAUACCCUCGAGAAAUCGAGGCUAAUACUGCAUACGUCCCUUCGGGGAGAAAGAUGGCCUCUUGCUGUCGCUGAAAGAUAAGCUCGCGUCCUAUUAGCUAGUUGGUGAGGUAAUGGCUCACCAAGGCAAUGAUGGGUAGCCGGCCUGAGAGGGUGUACGGCCACAUUGGGACUGAGAUACGGCCCAGACUCCUACGGGAGGCAGCAGUGGGGAAUAUUGCACAAUGGGCGAAAGCCUGAUGCAGCGACGCCGCGUGGAGGAUGACGGUCUUCGGAUUGUAAACUCCUGUUAAGAGGGAAGAAACGUGCACGAGUAAUAUGCGUGCAUAAUGACGGUACCUCUAUAGAAAGCUCCGGCUAACUUCGUGCCAGCAGCCGCGGUAAUACGAGGGGAGCAAGCGUUAUUCGGAAUCACUGGGCGUAAAGCGCGUGUAGGCGGCCUGCUAAGUCAGCUGUUAAAUACCUCGGCUCAACUGAGGAUCAGCGGUCGAUACUGGCAGGCUAGAGUGCGGAAGAGAGAAGUGGAAUUAUCGGAGUAGCGGUAAAAUGCGUAGAUCUCGAUAGGAACACCGAUCGCGAAGGCAGCUUCUUGGUCCGUGUCUGACGCUAAGACGCGAAAGCGUGGGGAGCAAACAGGAUUAGAUACCCUGGUAG